CUAAUACAUGCAUGUUGAACGGGAUGUAGCAAUACAUUCAGUAGCGAAUGGGUGAGUAACACGUACCUAACCUACCUUUAAGACUGGGAUAACUAUUGGAAACAAUAGCUAAUACCGGAUAUAGUUAUUUAUCGCAUGAUGAGUAAUAGAAAGGAGCUUCACAGCUUCACUUAAAAAUGGGGGUGCGGAACAUUAGUUAGUUGGUAGGGUAAUGGCCUACCAAGACGAUGAUGUUUAGCCGGGCCGAGAGGCUGUACGGCCACACUGGGACUGAGAUACGGCCCAGACUCCUACGGGAGGCAGCAGUAAGGAAUUUUCCACAAUGAGCGAAAGCUUGAUGGAGCGACACAGCGUGCAGGAUGAAGUUCUUCGGAAUGUAAACUGCUGUUAUAAGGGAAGAAAAAAUAGAAUAGGAAAUGAUUUUAUCUUGACGGUACCUUAUUAGAAAGCGACGGCAAACUAUGUGCCAGCAGCCGCGGUAAUACAUAGGUCGCAAGCGUUAUCCGGAAUUAUUGGGCGUAAAGCGUCCGUAGGUUUUUUGCUAAGUCUGGAGUUAAAUGCUGAAGCUCAACUUCAGUCCGCUUUGGAUACUGGCAAAAUAGAAUUAUAAAGAGGUUAGCGGAAUUCCUAGUGAAGCGGUGGAAUGCGUAGAUAUUAAGAAGAACACCAAUAGGCGAAGGCAGCUAACUGGUUAUAUAUUGACACUAAGGGACGAAAGCGUGGGGGAGCAAACAGGAUUAGAUACCCUGGUAGUCCACGCCGUAAACGAUGAUCAUUAGUUGGUGGAAUAAUUUCACUAACGCAGCUAACGCGUUAAAUGAUCCGCCUGAGUAGUAUGCUCGCAAGAGUGAAACUUAAAGGAAUUGACGGGAACCCGCACAAGCGGUGGAGCAUGUGGUUUAAUUUGAAGAUACGCGUAGAACCUUACCCACUCUUGACAUCUUCUGCAAAGCUAUAGAGAUAUAGUGGAGGUUAACAGAAUGACAGAUGGUGCAUGGUUGUCGUCAGCUCGUGUCGUGAGAUGUUAGGUUAAGUCCUGCAACGAGCGCAACCCUUUUCUUUAGUUACUAAUAUUAAGUUAAGGACUCUAGAGAUACUGCCUGGGUAACCAGGAGGAAGGUGGGGACGACGUCAAAUCAUCAUGCCUCUUACGAGUGGGGCAACACACGUGCUACAAUGGUCGGUACAAAGAGAAGCAAUAUGGUGACAUGGAGCAAAUCUCAAAAAACCGAUCUCAGUUCGGAUUGAAGUCUGCAACUCGACUUCAUGAAGUCGGAAUCGCUAGUAAUCGUAGAUCAGCUACGCUACGGUGAAUACGUUUCUCGGGUUUUGUACACACCGCCCGUCACACCAUGGGAGUUGGUAAUGCCCAAAGUCGGUGAGUAACUUCGGAGACCAUUGCCUAAG
This 1407-nucleotide ribosomal RNA is filed under the name Mesomycoplasma hyorhinis. RNAcentral's name for it is "Mycoplasma hyorhinis 16S ribosomal RNA". It matches the Rfam family "Bacterial small subunit ribosomal RNA". The record is from RNAcentral. Lineage: Bacteria; Bacillati; Mycoplasmatota; Mycoplasmoidales; Metamycoplasmataceae.